Molecule: ribosomal RNA, 699 nt
Filed under: uncultured Bacteroidales bacterium
Lineage: Bacteria; Pseudomonadati; Bacteroidota; Bacteroidia; Bacteroidales
Description: bacterial SSU rRNA
Rfam family: Bacterial small subunit ribosomal RNA
Source: RNAcentral
GCCUAACACAUGCAAGUCGAGGGGCAGCAUGGUCUUAGCUUGCUAAGGCCGAUGGCGACCGGCGCACGGGUGAGUAACACGUAUCCAACCUGCCGUCUACUCUUGGACAGCCUUCUGAAAGGAAGAUUAAUACAAGAUGGCAUCAUGAGUCCGCAUGUUCACAUGAUUAAAGGUAUUCCGGUAGACGAUGGGGAUGCGUUCCAUUAGAUAGUAGGCGGGGUAACGGCCCACCUAGUCUUCGAUGGAUAGGGGUUCUGAGAGGAAGGUCCCCCACAUUGGAACUGAGACACGGUCCAAACUCCUACGGGAGGCAGCAGUGAGGAAUAUUGGUCAAUGGGCGCAGGCCUGAACCAGCCAAGUAGCGUGAAGGAUGACUGCCCUAUGGGUUGUAAACUUCUUUUAUAAAGGAAUAAAGUCGGGUAUGUAUACCCGUUUGCAUGUACUUUAUGAAUAAGGAUCGGCUAACUCCGUGCCAGCAGCCGCGGUAAUACGGAGGAUCCGAGCGUUAUCCGGAUUUAUUGGGUUUAAAGGGAGCGUAGAUGGAUGUUUAAGUCAGUUGUGAAAGUUUGCGGCUCAACCGUAAAAUUGCAGUUGAUACUGGAUAUCUUGAGUGCAGUUGAGGCAGGCGGAAUUCGUGGUGUAGCGGUGAAAUGCUUAGAUAUCACGAAGAACUCCGAUUGCGAAGGCAGCCUGCUAAGC